Molecule: ribosomal RNA, 791 nt
Filed under: uncultured archaeon
Lineage: Archaea
Description: bacterial SSU rRNA
Rfam family: Archaeal small subunit ribosomal RNA
Source: RNAcentral
ACGGCUCAGUAACACGUGGAUAACAUGCCCUAAGGUGGGGGAUAAUCUCGGGAAACUGAGGAUAAUACCCCAUAGGUCUGAUCUGCUGGAAUGCUUUCAGGCCGAAAACUCCGGUGCCUUAGGAUUGGUCUGCGGUCUAUCAGGCAGUAGUGGGUGUAACGGACCCACUAGCCCGUGACGGAUAUGGGCCUUGAGAGAGGGAGCCCAGAGAUGGACUCUUAGACAUGAGUCCAGGCCCUACGGGGCGCAGCAGUCGCGAAAACUUCGCAAUGGGGGCAACCCCGACGAGGGAAUUCCAAGUGCCAGCACUUUGUGUUGGCUGUUCUCCUGUCUAAAAAACAGGAGGAGUAAGGGGCGGGUAAGACGGGUGCCAGCCGCCGCGGUAAUACCCGCGCCCCUAGUGGUGGUCGAUAUUAUUGAGCCUAAAACGUCCGUAGCCGGUCUUUUAAAUCCUUGGGUAAAUCGGGCAGCUUAACUGUCCGAAUUCCGGGGAGACUGGAAGACUUGGGACCGGGAGAGGUCAGAGGUACUUCUGGGGUAGGGGUAAAAUCCUGUAAUCCUGGAAGGACCACCGGUGGCGAAGGCGUCUGACUAGAACGGAUCCGACGGUGAGGGACGAAGCCCUGGGGCGCAAACGGGAUUAGAUACCCCGGUAGUCCAGGGUGUAAACGCUGCGGGCUUGGUGUUGGGGGUCCUUAGUGGGCGCCCAGUGCCGGAGAGAAGUUGUUAAGCCUGCUGCUUGGGGAGUAUGUCCGCAAGGAUGAAACUUAAAGGAAUUGGCGGGGGAGCAC